Molecule: non-coding RNA, 31 nt
Filed under: Rattus norvegicus (Norway rat)
Lineage: Eukaryota; Metazoa; Chordata; Mammalia; Rodentia; Muridae
Source: RNAcentral
UCUAAUGGUCUUGAGGGAAACCCUUUGUCUC